GACGAACGCUGGCGGCGUGCCUAAUACAUGCAAGUCGAGCGGACGAAUCGAAAGCUUGCUUUUGACUCGUUAGCGGCGGACGGGUGAGUAACACGUGGGACACCUGCUCUGUAGACGGGGAUAACACCGAGAAAUCGGCGCUAACACCGGAUAACACGAAAUGUCGCAUGACGUUUCGUUGAAAGACGGCGCAAGCUGCCGCUACAGGAUGGGCCCGCGGUGCAUUAGGUAGUUGGUGGGGUCACGGCUCACCAAGGCAACGAUACGUAGCCGACGUGAGAGGGGGAUCGGCCACACUGGGACUGGGACACGGCCAAGACUCCUACGGGAGGCAGCAGUAGGGAAUCUUCCGCAGUGGACGAAAGUCUGACGGAGCAACGCCGCGUGAGCGAAGAAGGCCUUCGGGUCGUAAAGCUCUGUUGUUAGGGAAGAACAAGUAACGCAGUAACUGGCGUUACCGUGACGGUACCUAACGAGAAAGCCACGGCUAACUACGUG
This 498-nucleotide ribosomal RNA is filed under the name uncultured bacterium. RNAcentral describes it as "partial 16S ribosomal RNA". It matches the Rfam family "Bacterial small subunit ribosomal RNA", at positions 28 to 507 of the family's 1533-position model. The record is from RNAcentral.